AGGRKMMGGGWRRARUGSUAAGWGUYGKAGGGUUUCCGCCCUUCAGUGCUGCAGCUAACGCAUUAAGCACUCCGCCUGGGGAGUACGACCGCAAGGUUGAAACUCAAAGGAAUUGACGGGGGCCCGCACAAGCGGUGGAGCAUGUGGUUUAAUUCGAAGCAACGCGAAGAACCUUACCAGGUCUUGACAUCCUUUGACCACUCUAGAGAUAGAGCUUCCCCUUCGGGGGCAAAGUGACAGGUGGUGCAUGGUUGUCGUCAGCUCGUGUCGUGAGAUGUUGGGUUAAGUCCCGCAACGAGCGCAACCCUUAUUGUUAGUUGCCAYCAUUCAGUUGGGCACUCUAGCAAGACUGCCGGUGACAAACCGGAGGAAGGUGGGGAUGACGU
This 386-nucleotide ribosomal RNA is filed under the name Enterococcus faecium. RNAcentral describes it as "partial 16S ribosomal RNA". The record is from RNAcentral. Lineage: Bacteria; Bacillati; Bacillota; Bacilli; Lactobacillales; Enterococcaceae.